This 113-nucleotide ribosomal RNA is filed under the name Trichoderma reesei. RNAcentral describes it as "partial 5.8S ribosomal RNA". Lineage: Eukaryota; Fungi; Ascomycota; Sordariomycetes; Hypocreales; Hypocreaceae. The record is from RNAcentral.
AACCCUCGAACCCCUCCGGGGGGUCGGCGUUGGGGAUCGGCCCCUCACCGGGCCGCCCCCGAAAUACAGUGGCGGUCUCGCCGCAGCCUCUCCUGCGCAGUAGUUUGCACACU